Molecule: ribosomal RNA, 274 nt
Filed under: uncultured bacterium
Lineage: Bacteria
Description: partial 16S ribosomal RNA
Rfam family: Bacterial small subunit ribosomal RNA
Source: RNAcentral
AUACGGAGGGAGCGAGCGUUAAUCGGAAUUACUGGGCGUAAAGCGCGCGUAGGCGGCUUUGUAAGUCGGAUGUGAAAGCCCUGGGCUCAACCUGGGAAUGGCAUUCGAUACUGCAGAGCUAGAGUAUGGUAGAGGGAAGUGGAAUUUCCGGUGUAGCGGUGAAAUGCGUAGAUAUCGGAAGGAACACCAGUGGCGAAGGCGACUUCCUGGGCCAAUACUGACGCUGAGGUGCGAAAGCGUGGGGAGUAAACAGGAUUAGAAACCCCAGUAGUCC